This is a long non-coding RNA of Oncorhynchus kisutch (coho salmon), 316 nucleotides long. RefSeq lists it as uncharacterized. The record is from RefSeq and is a predicted model, not a curated record. The transcript has 2 exons. NCBI's taxonomy places the organism in Eukaryota, Metazoa, Chordata, Actinopteri, Salmoniformes, Salmonidae.
AGGAGGGAACCGGCAGUAGAGGAGUCUGGAGGAAGAAAAGAGUGUUUGCUUCUACAAAAGGAGAGGACGUACCUUUCGGAAGGGGGAACAAUAAGGCAAACUACGUCUUGGGAAUGGUCACUUUACAAAUGACCUGGACUAACCUGUACCCCACACAUUGACUCGUUUUCCCAGUUCUGACUAUUCUGCCUGCCCUGACCCCAAGCCUGCCUGCCGUCCUGUACCUGCCUGACUCAGACCUGAUCACGAACCCCUGCCUGUCCUCGACCUGCCCUUUGCCUGCCCGUGUUUACAAUAAAUCAUCUGAGUACUGUAC